Molecule: long non-coding RNA, 2131 nt
Organism: Perca fluviatilis (European perch)
Lineage: Eukaryota; Metazoa; Chordata; Actinopteri; Perciformes; Percidae
Exons: 2
Source: RefSeq, a predicted model, not a curated record
CUUAAUCUCUCUUUACUCUCCUCUCUUUACUCUCUCUUUACUCUCUCCUCUCUUUACUCUCUCCUCUCUAUACUCUCUCUCCUCUCUCUCCUUACUCUUGGACCCCGUGUCUGAUUGGACCCCGUGUCUGAUUGGACCCCGUGUCUGAUUGGAUCCCGUGUCUGAUUGGAUCCCGUGUCUGAUUGGAUCCCGUGUCUGAUUGGACCCCGUGUCUGAUUGGACCCCGUGUCUGAUUGGACCCAGGUCUGAUUGGACCCCGUGUCUGAUUGGAUCCCGUGUCUGAUUGGAUCCCGUGUCUGAUUGGACCCCGUGUCUGAUUGGACCCCAGGUCUGAUUGGACCCCGUGUCUGAUUGGACCCCGUGUCUGAUUGGACCCCGUGUCUGAUUGGACCCCAGGUCUGAUUGGACCCCGUGUCUGAUUGGAUAUCAGUCAGGUUAGGGUUAGUUAUCUCGGAUAUAAAAGCAACUACAGCGUUGAGAGCUUUUGUUUCUUACGUCCUCCCUGGAGCCGUGCGUCUCUACAGCUGGUUCAUAUUUACAGUUGUUGUAUUUCUUCUUCUCUCUUUAUUAUUACUCUUUAUUAUAAUCUUAUUAUUCUGCUAGGACUGUUGUUGACGGCCGUGUUGGUUGAUAAGAAGCUGAAGUCACACUAAGUGUAGAUGAACACUCCCGCCCUGACCGGCCGACAGAACAGCUGUUAUUUAAGAGUAAACUUCACGCGUUCUGAUUGGUGGACCCAGACUUAGGGCUCAACCCAGAGACAAAAGCUUGUGCAGUUUGUCGCUCGUCGUCUGCUGUGUUGAUCAGCGCUGUGGCCACGGAGGCAGCGCUCCUCCAGAUGAACCUGAACAGGCAACUAGCAGCAGCUCCAGAGGGAGCCCACACCUGUCUCUGUCCUCGGGGCUCCGUUCCUAAAGUUUGAUACCUGAACUCGAUACUGCUUCCUGAACGAUACUUUUUUCCAAUUCAAUUUUAUAAAAAUCAAUUUUAACACAAAGAAAGUAAACAUUAGACAUUGCGGUAGAAGUAUCUUCUUUUCCAGCUGCUUAGUUACCUGUGAGAGAAACCUAAAAGUCUUUCAAACAGCCCAAAUCUCUCUUCAGUUAGUCGCCCACGUAGGAAACUUUUCCUCCACGUAAAACCUGAAAAAGCUCCUACAAGUUUCUGUGAAGGUCUGACUCCUGUCGGCUGUUCCGGGCCUCAGAGGGACGUCAGUGAUUUAAAAUCUGUCAUUUGAAGGAGACUUGUUGCUUCGUCCUCUAACAUCGGCCAGCCGUCACCUCGCCUGUUCCUCUCGGGUUCUGCACCCGACAUACAGUCCCUCCAGAAAAACCUGAUUAUGUGAUCGCAUAAUCAGCCUAUUUUUCAAAUACGCCGCACUCUCACCGCAUAAAUUGCCGAUUUCUGCGCAAAAUAUGCGGUGCUUGCAUGUCAUAACCCACGCUUUUUCGUUGUAAAAACGUCUCGUAAUAUAUCUUAGCAGAAAGUUGAAAAAUGUUGCGUUUACUUCACACAAGAGCAGCCAUUUCCCCGUUGCCAUGGGAACGUUAUGAAAUGACGUCAUUACGCGACAUGAACAUCAUUGAAAAGCGUGUUGGGGUUCACCAAACAGCAGUUUCAUCGCAUAAGACUGCAUAAAUACCAUAUGGAGCAUAUUACAUCACAUUUUAUAAGAAAACGUGUCACAUGAUCAAGGAUUUCUGCCCGCAACAAUCACAAAAACCAGCUUUUUUCUGGAAGGACUGGUAUGAAUCUAUAUUUCCGAGCUGUUCCUGAAUCAGCAUGUUCUGUGGCAUGAAAUCAGUUCCAAGCCUUCGCCUGACAUCAUGCACACGAGAAAUGGAGCGGCCAGCGGUGUUGAUGAUUCAUUAUUAAUUAUUCUGACUGUAGUUUGAGGGAGUGACGCUGAACGUUUCCAUGACUACUGUUAAAGCUUCACAACAGGAAGUGAAUCCUGGGAACUAAAACCUGUUGAUGUGCAUCUGUGUUCUGUUAUUAAUAUUAAUAUUUAUUACUUGUUACUGGCUGAGAUUUCUACUGAAGCGUUCUGUAGCUGUUCAGUUUCUUAAAGUUUGAUGUUAUCACUUUUAAUGUAAGCCAGUUUGUAAUGGAAUAAAGCUCGUUAUCCAAA